UGCAGCCCUGUCCAAUUCGAUCCCUGGGGGGGCCCGCCCACCCGGCUGCCACAGCAGCUUCCGUAGUCCGUGAGCCCCUCGUCCCUUUCCUGUGGGACGCUGGAGGAUAAAAUUACGCCACGGACACAU
RNAcentral lists this small nucleolar RNA (129 nucleotides) under Charadrius vociferus (killdeer). RNAcentral's name for it is "Small nucleolar RNA SNORA5". It matches the Rfam family "Small nucleolar RNA SNORA5". From Rfam's summary of the family: ACA5 is a member of the H/ACA class of snoRNA that guide the sites of modification of uridines to pseudouridines. The record is from Rfam by way of RNAcentral. Lineage: Eukaryota; Metazoa; Chordata; Aves; Charadriiformes; Charadriidae.